RNAcentral lists this small RNA (963 nucleotides) under Arabidopsis thaliana (thale cress). RNAcentral's name for it is "ATSL084540". The record is from RNAcentral. Lineage: Eukaryota; Viridiplantae; Streptophyta; Magnoliopsida; Brassicales; Brassicaceae.
AAUAAAUUUCUUUUAUAUACAACAUGUCUGGAGAAAAAAUGUUCAGGAGAAACGAAAAGAAAAAUAUUAGAAGUGCAUCGAACCUUGUUCACAAGAGUUUACUUGGGGCACACCUAACCAUUUGAGCUAACACAUUUUAUAACAGACCUAUUAACUGAAAAAUUAUUAAUAUUUAGUAUAGGGCACGUGCCCCACCUCAGCACUAUGUAGAUCUGCCAUUAUAUAUAUAUAUAUAUAUAUGUUUUUGUAUAUAUUUGAUAAAAAUAUAAAACACUUGUAUUUAGGUAUUCUUAGAACGCACUAGGCGUAUAGCAAAAACGCAUACCAAAUACUAAUGUUUUAUGAAUUUAUUAUAAAGUUAUUUUAUGUCCCGCACUUUGCAAAUGUUGUUGAAUGGUAACAUAGGUUGUGAACUCUAACCUAUAAAAAGCGAUUUUUGAAACUUUUUUUUUAAUCAAAAACGCAAUAGUGUUACCAAUCAUUAUUUUUAUCCAAUUUGCAUUUUAUAAAAAUUGCAGUUUUGUCCAACAGAUUAUGCCGUGGAACGCAUUUCAAAACAAACCAGUCUUUACCCAGGGGAUUUGUCAAAAAGCGCGACAUGUAAUGUUUUUUUCCAAAAUUUGAUUUUUUAAUGUUAAAUAUAUAUUGUAUGUUAUAUUACGAGCAAAAGUAAAGAAAAUUAAUUAUCCUCUCCAUUAUUUUCUUGUUUCUAAGUUCUCAUUUCUUAUUUUCAUGUAAUAAUUGUUUUUAACACUUAAUUCAAUAUAUCUGUCUAAAACUUUUAAUAUAUGAAAUACCUUUGUUAGACUUAGUUUUUUGUUAAACACUUAAUUCAAUAGUAGUUUUUCUUGUCUUGUGGUUUUUAUGAAUUUAAAAUUUUUAUUUUUCUUAACAAUAAUUAUUUCAAAAGAAAUUAUUAUUUUAUAUCAAUUUCGAUAUUUAAGAUUUAUAAAUAUAUGAAAA